RNAcentral lists this long non-coding RNA (1101 nucleotides) under Monodelphis domestica (gray short-tailed opossum). Its description in RNAcentral is "lncRNA (ENSMODG00000037850.1)". The record is from RNAcentral. Lineage: Eukaryota; Metazoa; Chordata; Mammalia; Didelphimorphia; Didelphidae.
AAUUUAUUGAAUGCCAGCACUGCAAGACAAGCCUGAUUAGAUAAUCUGGGGAACAGUCUGCGAGCACCUCCAGUGCAGAAGACAGGUGCCCCGGACAAGAUUCAAGUAGUCUGGAUUCAAAACAAAACACAAAAAAUCCGGCAGCUGCCGCUUUGAAGUGGGAAGCAGCCAAACAGGUGGCCACGGGGCUGCCACCACUUCCGGCUCCUGAGGUGGCAGCAGUUACAAACCACAGCGGAGCGAGGCAGAGUGAGACAAAGGACGCAGGACUCUAUGGGGGUUACCAGCAGAGCUGGUUUGCUGAUUGUCACAGGGUAAAGGGGAAGUCUGUUUUCAGGAACCCAUGGGAAUGUUUGUUGAGCCUCUUAUAACCAGUUGGUACAUUUAGAUGAGAGAUUAGAUACAGCUUGGGAAUCCUGAUAUCAAAAUCACUUCAGAUGUGAGUAGACAUUUCUACUACUAUGUUUUUGCUUGGGGGUAUUUGACAAAUGUCAUUUUCCUGAAAGGUUAAGGAAACUUAUGGAAAAUGUCUCUAGGACAAAGAAUUUGGCUCCAAGUUGAUCAUUUAAGUGAAGAAGCAGAUUUUCAGUAAAUAAUUGUACUAGGGAAAUAGGACGAAUAUGGGUUUGCCUCUGCCAUUAUAUUCCAGCAAACAUAGUCCCAUUACUUUUAAAUGUAACUUACAAAUAAGUAGUCCAUUAUUUCUAGCUGAUUCUGAUGUCUUUGAAAUGAAUUGCUUACUGAAUUGAUUGCACCUGUCCCUUUGAAAGUGGACGGAAGAGGGCAGGCAGCUAGAUGGCUCAGUGGGUUGAGGGCCAGGCCUAGAGACUGGAGGUCCUGGGUUCAAAUCUAGUCUCAGCUACUUACUAGCUGUGUGACCCUGGGCAAGUCACUUAACCCCCAUUGCUUAGAUGCCUUGGAAUCAAUAUGUAGUCUUGAUUCUAGGACAAGAAGGUAAGGGCUUUAAAAAAAAUAAUUAGUUAAAAAAAGAAAGGAUGGGACUUUCAGAUAUAAUCCUCUCCUGGAGGAUUAUAUGGAAUAUAUGGAAAUUUUGCUAAUUGCAUUUGAUGCUUGUUUAGAAUUGUAAAAAAUUAAAAUAAA